Molecule: ribosomal RNA, 444 nt
Filed under: uncultured bacterium
Lineage: Bacteria
Description: bacterial SSU rRNA
Rfam family: Bacterial small subunit ribosomal RNA
Source: RNAcentral
UGGGGAAUAUUGGACAAUGGGCGAAAGCCUGAUCCAGCGAUGCCGCGUGAGUGAAGAAGGCCUUAGGGUUGUAAAACUCUUUCACUGGUGACGAUGAUGACGGUAGCCAGAGAAGAAGCCCCGGCUAACUCUGUGCCAGCAGCCGCGGUAAUACAGAGGUGGCAAGCGUUGUUCGGAAUUACUGGGCGUAAAGGGCGCGUAGGCGGCCCUCUAAGUCAGACGUGAAAUCCCCCGGCUUAACCUGGGAACUGCGUCUGAUACUGGAGGGCUUGAGUAUGGGAGAGGGAUGUAGAAUUCCAGGUGUAGCGGUGAAAUGCGUAGAUAUCUGGAGGAAUACCGGUGGCGAAGGCGGCAUCCUGGACCAUUACUGACGCUGAGGCGCGAAAGCUAGGGGAGCAAACGGGAUUAGAUACCCCCGUAGUCCCUGAGCGGGCUGGCAAGGCG